Molecule: ribosomal RNA, 255 nt
Filed under: uncultured Neisseria sp.
Lineage: Bacteria; Pseudomonadati; Pseudomonadota; Betaproteobacteria; Neisseriales; Neisseriaceae
Description: partial 16S ribosomal RNA
Rfam family: Bacterial small subunit ribosomal RNA
Source: RNAcentral
CGAACGGGUGGAGUAACAUAUCGGAACGUACCGGGUAGCGGGGGAGUAACUGAUCGAAAGAUCAGCUAAUACCGCAUACGUCUUGAGAGGGAAAGCAGGGGACCUUCGGGCCUUGCGCUAUCCGAGCGGCCGAUAUCUGAUUAGCUGGUUGGCGGGGUAAAGGCCCACCAAGGCGACGAUCAGUAGCGGGUCUGAGAGGAUGAUCCGCCACACUGGGACUGAGACACGGCCCAGACUCCUACGGGAGGCAGCAGC